UCACCGACCUUCCCUGGCGCCC
This 22-nucleotide unclassified non-coding RNA is filed under the name Mus musculus (house mouse). RNAcentral's name for it is "oocyte_clustered_small_RNA14279". The record is from RNAcentral. Lineage: Eukaryota; Metazoa; Chordata; Mammalia; Rodentia; Muridae.